AUUGAACGCUGGCGGCAUGCUUUACACAUGCAAGUCGAACGGUAACAGGGAGCUUGCUCCGCUGACGAGUGGCGAACGGGUGAGUAAUAUAUCGGAACGUACCCAAGAGUGGGGGAUAACGUAGCGAAAGUUACGCUAAUACCGCAUACGAUCCAAGGAUGAAAGCAGGGGAUCUUCGGACCUUGUGCUCCUGGAGCGGCCGAUAUCUGAUUAGCUAGUUGGUGAGGUAAAGGCUCACCAAGGCGACGAUCAGUAGCUGGUCUGAGAGGACGACCAGCCACACUGGAACUGAGACACGGUCCAGACUCCUACGGGAGGCAGCAGUGGGGAAUUUUGGACAAUGGGCGCAAGCCUGAUCCAGCAAUGCCGCGUGAGUGAAGAAGGCCUUCGGGUUGUAAGGCUCUUUUGUCAGGGAAGAAACGGGAGUGGCUAAUAUCCAUUCCUAAUGACGGUACCUGAAGAAUAAGCACCGGCUAACUACGUGCCAGCCGCCGCGGUAA
This 500-nucleotide ribosomal RNA is filed under the name uncultured bacterium. RNAcentral's name for it is "partial 16S ribosomal RNA". It matches the Rfam family "Bacterial small subunit ribosomal RNA", at positions 30 to 523 of the family's 1533-position model. The record is from RNAcentral.